Molecule: ribosomal RNA, 377 nt
Filed under: uncultured bacterium
Lineage: Bacteria
Description: bacterial SSU rRNA
Rfam family: Bacterial small subunit ribosomal RNA
Source: RNAcentral
UAAGACAGAGGUGCCGAGCGUUAGGCGGAAUCACUGGGCUUAAAGCGUGUGUAGGCGGACUUCUAAGUACCUUGUGAAAUCCCACGGCUCAACCGUGGAACUGCUUGGUAUACUGGUUGUCUUGAGCCACCUAGGGGCAAGCGGAACAAACGGUGGAGCGGUGAAAUGCGUAGAUAUCGUUUGGAACGCCGAUGGUGAAAACAGCUUGCUGGGGGUGUGCUGACGCUGAGACACGAAAGCCAGGGGAGCAAACGGGAUUAGAUACCCCGGUAGUCCUGGCCGUAAACGAUGUCCACUAGAUCGUGGCGCCUCUGACGGCGUCACGGUCGAAGCAAAAGUGCUAAGUGGACCGCCUGGGAAGUACGGUCGCAAGGCUA